GGCCGCUUGGCUCAAUGGUAGAGCGUCCGCCUCCUAAGCGGAAGGUUGUGGGUUCGAGUCCCAUGGUGGUCG
RNAcentral lists this transfer RNA (72 nucleotides) under Baudoinia panamericana UAMH 10762. Its description in RNAcentral is "tRNA-Arg (CCT) (tRNA-Arg-CCT-1-1)". It matches the Rfam family "tRNA". Rfam says of the family: Transfer RNA (tRNA) molecules are approximately 80 nucleotides in length. Their secondary structure includes four short double-helical elements and three loops (D, anti-codon, and T loops). Lineage: Eukaryota; Fungi; Ascomycota; Dothideomycetes; Mycosphaerellales; Teratosphaeriaceae. The record is from RNAcentral.